UUGAGGCACACUUACACACCAAAGACUUUUCUCCAAAAUAUUAUUAUUAAGAUAUUCACUCGAAAUACGAACACUAAGAACCUAGAGAGUGGAUUGUCGUGGACCUAAGUAUUCACUCGUCCUCAUACUCAUUAUCUUCAUAAUCCUGAGCCGGAUAUUCAUAAUCUCUAUAAAACCAUGGAUAGUACUCGUCUUCUUUGAAUUAAAACCACAACACUCUCUCCUCUUCAUAAUCCUUAUCUCCUCACUUAUCAUAGAAGUCAGAAUGAAUCCGUCUUCAGUGGAAAAACCUACGCAGGGGGCGUACACAAUUCCGCCGCCAAUUGGUUAUCCGACCAGAGAUGUGGCUGGUGGUGAUCCCGUGGUAGCCGCAGUGGAGACCAAGUCCAAAGGCGAUGAUGAAUGUUCUUUUAAAAAAAUUUGUAGCACGGUCUGCUGUUGUUACCAUAUCUUUCACUUCUGCAGCUAGUGAUGAGAUCGGUGUUAACGGUUUCAUGCAAAUUCUUGGUGUUAUAAAUAUAUAUAUAUAUAUAUAUUUGAUGAUAUUGUGUUACUUAAUUUCAGCUUUAUGUGAAAUGUACUCUACGGAUGGUUCUCGUUGUUGUGUUUUACAUAAAGUGAUCAUAUAUAUAAAGUCAAUUUGGUUUGUGAAGAUUAUAUUUAACAGAUACACAUGUCCUCUGGUUCUUCUAACAAUGUAAAUACAACAACUACGUUGAACUACGUUAAAAACUGUAACAUAAAAUGCAUUAGAGAAUCUUGUACAAACAUGUGUUUUAUUACAAUUCCUUUCAAAAAAUUAUGAGUAUAGAUUUAAACAAAAUAAUCAACAAGUUCAAGAAAACUUUGAAUUGUUUAACUAACUUCAUGCAUCUUAAAAUCCAAUACAAAAUCUUAGAACCUAUCCGUUGAAUAAUUUGUGUUUUGCUUUACUUAGAAGGUAUAAAAAUUCACAUAUGUAAUAAAUACAACUAUGGUUGAUGGCAUAAUAGUCAGACGCAAAACUCUUCUGCUUAUACAAGGUAAAAAGUUAGGUAGGUCAUCUCCAAUGAGAUACCAAAACAUCAAAAAUUUCAUUUCCAGUGAGACAUAAAAAUGAUAUCAUCUUAUAUUAAAGUUGGUGUAAUGUAAAUAGUGUUAAACCAAAUUUAAUGUCACACUCUUCAUUAUACCAAAUAUUAAAUUAAUGUAUCUUAUUACGUUUAUUUAAAUAUAGAUAUAUCGUUUUAUUAAUUAGUUUUAACUUAUAGUUAAAAUGAAUAUCUCAUAAUAUUUUAUAUUUGUAUUCUCAUCUAUUCAUUUCUAUUUUUAAUUAAUAAUAUAAUUAAAAUGACUAUAAUCAUAAUAACAUUAAAUGGUAACAACAUAAACAUGCUUUUAAUUUUAAAUGUAAAAAAAUUAGUUUCGACCAAUAUUUUAAACAAAAUAAACAAAUAAUUAUACAAUAUAACUAAAAGAAAAAAAAACGACUUAUAUAUAUAUAUAUAUAUAUAUAAACAGGAAGAUAAAGUUACCAAAUUUUAAUAUUAAAUAUAAAACAAAAUGUAAUAAAUAUAAUUUGUCAAUUAUAAAUAAUUAAUGUAUUAAAUUACCAAAACUAAAAAAUAUUAAUAUAACGAAUUGUUUUGGCAUAAAAUUUGGUGUGGUGAUUAAAGAUUAAAAAUAAAAUUUAACAUCAAAAUUUUGGUAUAGUUUUAACACCAAAUUUGAUGUUAUGGUUUGAAAUGAUGUAAACCUAGAACUCAAGAAAAAAAUUACCAUUGACCACUUCGUUAUAUAAUUUAGUUAUUGUUUUAGCUGUAGUGGAAAACUUCACAGGGGCGGAACACAGUCCAAAGGCGAUGAUGGUGUACUUGGAGAAAGUUUGAUAUAUAUAUAUAAUUUUUUUUGGAACAUAAUGGUUUCUUUAAAAACUUAACAUUCUUAUAGAAUAGGACAACAAAAUUAUUUAUCAUCUUUGAUAAUAAGUGCAUAAAAUCCUAGAUAUUAUUGGAGAUGUGAACCAAUUGUGGGAUUUAUGGAUUAAGGAUUGUUAUUUCGGUUCAAUUCAAAUAAUGAGUGAUCAUAUUUGGAUUGGAUCUUUGGUAUUUGAAUUGAUAGACAUGGGGAUUUUAUGCAUAAAACCAAUGGGAAAAUUGCCAAAAGAGAACAAAAAAAUCAGGUUGUUGUCCCUUUGGUAUAAAACCAAUUUUGUCCAUUUUUUUUCUUUUUUCUCCUUUUUACCUUUUGUAUUUCUGAAAACUAAUGAAAUAAAUAAUUUUUUGAAUCAAAAAAUUUAUUAAAAAUAUAAACAAUUAAUAAAACAUCCAUAUACACAAGCUGGUAAUUUUCUUUUGUUCAAAAACUUGGUAAAUAAGAUUUUUAAAAUACGUUCUACUAAAAGUAGAAUGCGUCUUCUACGAAAAAUGGUAUAGUAGAAAACGAUUUCUAAAAUAAACACGUUCAUCUACUUCUUUUAGAACGCCCAUUUUACUAUUUACUAAAUUUCUAAAAAAGAGAAAUGUGCAUUCUACUAAUCGUAAAUGUAUCUAUUUUCCUUCCGAAUGCAUCUUCUACUAAGUAUUCUAAAUUUCGGGGAAUGUGUUUUCUACAAUGUACUCUUAUGCUACUCAAAGUAGAAAGUGUAUUCAGAAUUUUUAUCAUUCUUAUAAAUUUUUAGAAGUCACAUUCUGCGGAUAAGAAUACCUGAUUUUUUUUGCAAAAAUUAGUGAAAUUUCAGUUAAGGAAAUAUUCUAAAAAUCUCCUAGAAAUAUUCAAACUUCCUAAAACAUGUUAUGGUCGAUUUUACUUGAAAAAUUAAAUAAAAAAACGAUUCUCCCUUCUCUUCUUCAUCAAUCUAUGGUUUUUCCAUAGUUUUUCUUUUGAUUCUUCUCACAAACUCUUGUUCUCUAAGAUGCAUAUCUAUACCUCUCUUUUUUUCGAUUGCCUUUCAACUGUUUUUUUUUUCUUUUCUCCAUUAACUUUUUUUUUUAAAUUCAAAUUAACUUUUAAAUUGUGUUUAAUUAGAUUAAAUAUAUGGUUAGUUUUGGGAUUAUGAGAAAUAUUAUACUAUUGAGACAACUUUAUGUUGGUUUUAUACCAAGGGAACAACAACCUUAUUUUUUUGUUCUCUUUUAGCAAUUUUCCCAAAACCAAUUAGGAUAUCAUUUAAUUCUAUGAUGGGCUGAAUUAAAUGACAAUGGUUCAGGACCGGUUAAGUUACAGUUUACUGGAUUGGUUGUGGUCCCUAGCUCACGUAUAUAUGAAGGUAUAUAUAUUCGGUUUAAUAUAUACCAUAAGGUGGAGAAGUAUAUAAGAUAGAGAGAUGAGAACAUAAAGUGUAAGGUUGAAAAGAAGGCUUUUGUCAUUUUGCUAAACAAAAACAUAAGGAUUCUCUCUCACUCUCAUCAGACAUACUUCCUCUAUUCUCUACUCAAGCUCCCACUACUUAUUAGAGGAUAAUUCGGAUACGAAGAGCUAGAAGACCAUCUACCUAUCAUCUUCUUCUAAGAUGAGUUCAAGUAAGUGUUUCAAGCGCUCUUAAUUUUCAGUGCUAACCAUAUACACUAGUAGAUCAAGGGGCCUAAGGAUAUAUGUGGAGACGAUACCACCUCCAUUAAGUAUACGUAAAUCCAUCAAGUGGUAUCAGAGCCUACUACUAUGUGUAUAUGGUCGCAUGUGUUCAUGAUGUGAUAUUUAGGUUAUUUAUAAAAUUUAUGAAUUUAAAGUUUGAGAUUUUAUUAAUUAUGCAUAAGAAUCAUGAUUAAAGUUAAAGUCUUGCUUUAUCAUGAUUUAUAAGGUUAUUAUGCAUAAUUUUUGGAAUUAAAAUCUCAUGAAAGCUUGAUUUUAUGUUAAAAUGGUGUUUUAGCCAAAGGUUGAAGAUAAUGGCAUUUUGGUAAUUAUUUAAAAAUGAAUUUAAUAAAUAAAUAAUUAUUUGUGAGUGUUUGACAUGUGUCAUUUGGCGGAUGCGUAUGUUGUGCAUGUGUCAUAAGGUUAGACACUUGUUAUAAAAUCUCAUUUGGUGUAGACAUUUGUGGAAAUGUGUCAUUCGGCUAAGAUAAUAAUCCAUUUAAGAGCAUGCAAAUAAUUAUAUUUUUUUAUCCCUCUUUUGUUUUGUUUGGCCUAGUUUUUUUAAAUAAGUCAUUAUUUUUAUAUUUAUUAAAGUGAACUUCAUGAUUUAAUUAAACGUGCAUAUCUAUACCAAUAAAGUAGACUUUUUUCUUUCCUUGGAAGAAAAAAUGACACGUAUUGUUUUUUCAUUGGCUAUAAUUUACGAUUGGGUUUUGUUUGAUAAAUUGGAUUUUGUGUUUUAGUUUGAGGUCCAUCUCAAAACAUUAAAUUUUCAGGCCCGGAAUCGCCUCUUCCUCUUGGUCGUUUCUCCUUCUUACGGCCGCCGCAUUUUGCAGAUGAAAGUCGAUGAUAACGCCAUGGACGUUACAACGUUUGGCUUUGCUCUUCUUUACUUUGGUUAAAUCGUGAUUUCCCCACUUUUCAGCAUUCAAUCCGACUCCUUCUCUUCCCUGAGUUACUCAGUAGAGUUUCGGGUAUAAAUACCUCCUCAUCCAGACAUGAGCAUCUCAGCUUCGACGAGAACCAGAAGAUCAUUCUGUUCAAUUUCCAGUUAUUACAAUGGCGAAUCCCCAAGUCCUUCUUGCCGAUCUGAACGCAGGACGGUGCUCGAACGUCGCGGAGGUUCGUUUACCCCGAUACUGGGAGGCGAAAAAUGUAAGGAAAGGUAGUGAACUGAUGAGUGUUGACAUGCUCUUUGUCGAUGAGAAUAACUGCACAGAUGCGUCAGAUUUCUAGCUGUGGAUUAAGACCUUUCCACCGUUAGAUUGAACUCAUCUUCUAACACAAAAUAGAUCGUUGAGUUAGCUUUCCAAUGCCACUGGUGUGAGGUCAAUCAGCAUCCUGUAGCAGACGUUAUGCUCGUUUUACUGAAGAGUGGUCAGUCUGCCUCGCGAGAAGAAGCUGUCGAGAAGAGGAACGUAUGUCGAUCGAUGCAGAACUAUUGACAUCGAUCGAUAUGGAUGCUAGAACGUGGGCCAAGCAUAUUUCAAGACCGUUUGAAGCCCAGAAGCCACACCAAGCUUGCUACCAGCUACAACCCUGCUGAAGAUAUAUGAUCUUAUAUAUUAAAACAGAAUGCACAACAUUGAUUCAUCUGUGAUUUUUUUUAAAAAAAUGGACCUAAUGGACCUAUUAUAGAAAGUUAUGUUACA
This is a long non-coding RNA of Brassica rapa (field mustard), 5201 nucleotides long. RefSeq lists it as uncharacterized. The record is from RefSeq and is a predicted model, not a curated record. Lineage: Eukaryota; Viridiplantae; Streptophyta; Magnoliopsida; Brassicales; Brassicaceae.